Non-coding RNA from Acanthosepion pharaonis, 106 nucleotides. The record is from the annotation of a GenBank genome assembly. NCBI's taxonomy places the organism in Eukaryota, Metazoa, Mollusca, Cephalopoda, Sepiida, Sepiidae.
AUACCAGUUGGAUUACGGCUCCGGUUCUCGUAUUUAUCACCGAAGUUAAGCCACAUCGAGCCUUGUCAGUAAUUAGGUGGGUGACCGCUUGGGAAUAUCAGGUGCU